This 253-nucleotide ribosomal RNA is filed under the name uncultured bacterium. RNAcentral's name for it is "partial 16S ribosomal RNA". It matches the Rfam family "Bacterial small subunit ribosomal RNA", at positions 524 to 776 of the family's 1533-position model. The record is from RNAcentral.
UACAGAGGUCUCAAGCGUUGUUCGGAUUUAUUGGGCGUCAAGGGUGCGCAGGCGGUGUGGUAAGUUUGGUGUGAAAUCCUGGGGCUCAACCCCAGAAUUGCACUGAAUACUGCCAUGCUAGAGGACUGGAGAGGAGAUUGGAAUUCACGGUGUAGCAGUGAAAUGCGUAGAUAUCGUGAGGAAGACCAGUGGCGAAGGCGAAUCUCUGGACAGUUCCUGACGCUCAUGCACGAAGGCUAGGGGAGCAAACGGG